CGGUUCUUGCUUUGUCUUCUUCUUGUUUGGAUGCUAUGUAUUUGGUUGUCUUGCAAGUACAUUCAAUGUACUGACCUGGCAUGUCAUGCCAGUUUUGUAGGUCAUACCCGUAUUGUUCGCUUGAUCCGUCGUGCUAGGCCGUAACCUUGCCAGUCCUGUGAGUUGUGUAGCCUAGCCAAAGUUGUUAUGCUGCCAAACCAAGACUUCCCCCGCCAUUCAAUCAGACUUCUGUUGUCAUUUAUUAGCCUUGGGGCUAUGCCAGAUAACUGCAUUCCUCCAUGAUGUAAUCUCAUAUACAUGUAUUUGAUGCAUAUUCUUGUACCUGGGAUGCUGUAUUAUGGACCUGUCGUGCGUCAGGUGUUAUCCUGGGCUGACGUAUGAAGGCCCCCUGCUCCAUGCGGAUCGGGGUGCCACAGGGAAAUGGUAUCAGAGCAGCCAGGCUGGCAUAGGUUAUCCUAGCAUUAGAUCACCGAUGCCAUUAAACCGUAAUUACCCUAAGGGAUUUGACUCAUCCGUGGCAUCCAGCAUGGCCACUAUGUCGGUGUACUAGAGUAGGGGUACCCUAUUACCCCGAACUCGUGCACGGGCAGUUGCAGCGCCCCGCGGCAAGGCUUGCCGGGUGACCGCCAGGACCCUCCGUGGUUCCCGUGAAGACCAUUCAAGAACAAAGUAUUCAAGUCGAGGCCCCGGCAAGAGGAGUUUGCCGGGAAGGACAACCGAGGCCCCGAUAAGAGGAGCUUGCCGGGAAGGCCAACCAAGGCCCCGGCAAGAGGAGCUUGCCGGGAAGGCCACUCAAGACAUACCAAGAAAGCUUGCUGCGACGCGCCCCGCGUCCCGGCAAGAUUCGGCGAGCGACAAGCUUCCGGACGCGACAAGACGACGGCCGCGGCAAGGAGCUUGCCGCGGGGAACCCCCGCUGCGUGCCCGCGCUCCAGCUCACCUGUUAACGUGUCGCUCUGGGACACUCCCAGAGCGCACGUGGCGGGAGGCCGUGCAGCUAGGGGUACGUGGUGGCAAGCGGAGAUGAAGAGAAGCCCAUCGUGGCAAACGGUGGCACUCCUAACGGUCACCUUUUGCACUGUUUAGGAGACUCAGACAGGCAUUUAAUGCCCUUGUCCCCUGCCGUCAGAGUUAGGUAGGGUGCACUGUAUCGACAGUACCGGUAGCUAUACCUACCACAUCCUUUUCCAUUUUUACCCUUCUUGUCUACGUUGCCCCCUGUCGGUGACCCCUUGAGUAUAAAAGGAGGCCCAAGCACAACGUAGAGGGGGUUCCGCAGGUCGGGGAGUUCAGAGACUCGGCUAGCUCGGCUCGUUCAACCCCAGAGACACUCUUACGCUCAGUCUGGCAGCGUCCAUCGCUCCUGAGCAAGAAUCCAAUAUACACAAACAAGCAAUAGUAGGGUUUUACGCAUCCGUGCGGCCCGAAGCUGGGUAAAAAUCCCCCCGCGUGCACUGCCUCGAUCCGCUCUUUGUGCGCUCUCCGCCCCCCACCGAACCAAAAAGGGGCCCUGUCCCCAUAGGUGCUGGCGGGAAUCAGCAUCGCCCGCCAGCAUCUCUGGCGUGCCAGGUAGGGGGCGUCGAGACCGUGCGAACCCGAUCCGGCGUGCACGCAAGCUAAAUCCUCAUCGUCAUAGCUCCCAAGGAGCGGGCGAGCGAAAGAGCGACGCCAGUGCGGCAACAGAAGAAGCUAAGUCGUGCAAAACUUUAGAUAUUUCCUUUCUAUACGAAGUUAUCCGCCUUGGAGAUCUUGUUCUUUGUACGAAAAACCUGUGCGCGGAGGAAUCAACUCGUAGCUAGUCGCACCCUUACUUUGUUUCGAGUCCGCUCAACAACUUAAGUGAGCUGCUAGUGCCCUUACUUUGCUUCGAGUCCACUCAGCAACUUAAGAGAGCUGCUAGCGCCCUUACUUUGUUUCGAGUCCGCUCAACAACUUAAGCGAGCUGCAACUAGUUGCGACAAGAUUACUUGUCGGUAGCGACCCCGCCAGCAGGCUGCUGAAGUUCCGCACUCGGCGCUCGCGGCAAGGGUGCCUGCACCAGCAAGUUUCCCUAGAAAGCGUAGGGUGGACGUACAAAGAGGGGUCGAAUAGGAAGAUAGCAUGUGCUAUUUAUUUAAGAUUUCUGCAUAGACCUGUAUGCCGAGGAGCCUUCUCGGGGCUAGUUGCGCUCCAUGUUGCCUCGAGUCCGCUCGGCAACUUGUGCGGUUGCCCUAGAACCAAGAAGGUAAACCUUUCCGGGAGGCGAUGUUCCCAAAAUAGCCGCUAAGGGCCCGUUCCCUCAAGCGCUGCUGGCUGGAUCACACGCACCGGAAAGCAUUCUAGCAGACAUAGGGAAUAUGUAGCAGAAGUCAAAAUUCGCAAACAAGUUAAGUGCACUUCGGACACUAAUCACUUGCUAUGUUUGAACGCAGUUAUGGCCCGGGGGCUGGCAACGCCCUUAGGGCCAAUCUUUUUGGCGUCAAGAACGACGAAGUUUUUCACCAUAAGCCUUUCCGGCAAUGAUCUUGCCGGGAGCCGGCGUCAAGAACGACGAAGUUCUUCGCCAUAAGCCUUUCCGGCAACAAUCUUGCCGGGAGCCGACGUCAAGAACGACGAAGUUCUUCGCCAUAAGCCUUUCCGGCAACGAUCUUGCCGGGAGCCGGCGUCAAGAACGACGAAGUUCUUCGCCAUAAGCCUUUCCGGCAAUGAUCUUGCCGGGAGCUGGUGUCAAGAACAACGAAGUUCUUCGCCAUGAGCCUUCCUGGCAACCAGCUUGCCGGAAGCCAGCAUCGAGAACGUCAAAGUUCUCUGCUGAAGAUAAAAGCCUUCCUGGCAACCAGCUUGCCGGAAGCCAGCAUCGAGAACGUCAAAGUUCUCUGCUGAAGAUAAAAGCCUUCCUGGCAACCAGCUUGCCGGAAGCCAGCAUCGAGAACGUCAAAGUUCUCUGCUGAAGAUAAAAGCCUUCCUGGCAACCAGCUUGCCGGAAGCCAGCAUCGAGAACGUCAAAGUUCUCUGCUGAAGAUAAAGGCUUCCUGGCAACCAGCUUGCCGGAAGCCGGCAUCGAGAACGUCAAAAUUCUCUGCUGAAGAUAAAAGCCUUCCUGGCAACCAGCUUGCCGGAAGCCAGCAUCGAGAACGUCAAAGUUCUCUGCUGAAGAUAAAAGCCUUCCUGGCAACCAGCUUGCCGGAAGCCAGCAUCGAGAACGUCAAAGUUCCCUGCUGAAGACAAAAGCCUUCCUGGCAACCAGCUUGCCGGAAGCCGGCAUCGAGAACAUUGAAGUUCUCUGCGGCAGAUAAGAGCCUUCCCGACAAGCCAGUAUCACCGGGGGCUGUGAGUGCCAAGAAUCGUCCACGGCAAACCAGAGUUGCCGAGGGCUGCGCUAUCAGAUAAGUCUUUCAUCCCUCAUCAUGCAUCCUCUUAUGGACUGGGGAAUGCGAAACCGUGUUUCUUCCCAGAAGCUGCCGUGCUCCCUCGACUCUAGGCCCUGGGGCUCGUUCUCGGGGCCAAGUUUGGUCGUAGUCGUAGCAGCAAAGGGAUGAAACAAGGAGACCGCACCCACCUCGUUCCUGCCUCCGUUAAAAGCGUGAGAAAGGUUGAGCGACGUGGGAAGGCGGCAGGGCCUGUUGCCAGGAGAUGAAAUGUCUGUCCGAGGGAUACCAAGGAUUUGUUCCUUGGCGUGGGUUUAACUCGCGAGACAAAUAACCCGGAAAGCAUCCCCCUGUUUCAUUAAAAAACAUCCCGUUCAGGUACAGUCCAUAGAGGAUGAAAAACAUGAAAGAGAGGAUUACAGAUUUUAGAUACAGCUAAGGCCUGAAGGCUUACAAAUUAAAAAGAUAAGAUGCUUGUAAUCCCUUUCCUGUCCCUCUUUUCAGGAGGCAGGUCAAGGAGGCGAAAAGGGCAAAAGGGGUUCCUAGGCGAGCUACGGGUGCCAGAAGACACCAAGGGAACAUCCCGGGGGUCGUCCGAAGGCUGGACGGCGACGGUGGCGCUGGAAGCGGGGCUCGAAGACGGGGCGAUAGGACGUCAGCGCGCUGUCGAGGGCACCACGCCCUCGUACUCCGGCUUGACGGCCUUGUCGCCUACCCUCUUCCCCUUCCGCAGCCUCCCUACGCCAGCCGCCCAAGGAGACGACCCCGGGGAGUUCAAGAAGCCGGCGACGCGGAUGAUGGGGUCACCGGUGCCGCGCAAAGCGGUGCCCGACGCCUAGUCGGACCCGCUACUCUGCCGCCCGCUACCCUCGUCGUCGCUGUCGCUCCCCUCUUCAUCGCUCUUGCUCGAGGAGGGGCCUUCGCUGUCGGAGGAGCUAUCCACGCAGCACUUCGCCUGAGUGCCGAGGCACCCGAAGGCCUUGACGGAGAGGAGAUCGCCCUCCAUUAGCUUAAAAUGGAGGGUAAACCCCUCCGUCAAGCUGUGGAUGCGGGCGAACAUCUUCCACCCUCGAUCAAGAUACAUCACAUUAGGGGCUGGGAAUGCAACGCGGACUCGCGUGCCGCUGAUCCCACAGCCCCUCAUGUGCAGUCUCAGCGUCUCGGGCGGCUCCACUUCCAUCACGCGCGCAAACGGAGCUGGAAGCCGGAGGCGACGACGAGGCGCCCUGCGCAGCCUGACGAAGAACUCGCAAGGGUCGUCCCCUAUGUGGACCGCCGUGGGAGGAAGAGCCGCCGGCGGAGGUGAAGCUGACGCGCCAUCCCGUCCGCCUCUUCCCCGAGCGCCUCGACCUCGUCCUCGACCUCGUCCGCGACCUCGUCCCCUUCCUCUUCCCCUCAAGACUGGCUCUGCCACCACGGGCGCAGAAGAGGAAGAGAGGCGCUCUCUGGCGGCGACCCUCGCCGCCACCGAGGAAGGGCCUGGGUUCCCUUUCUCCAUGGCAGAUGAGAGAAAGGGGAGCAGAAGCUGAAGAAAGGAGAAGAUGAGAGAGUGCGGGUUUUCCAUGCUCCCAUCCCACUCUUUAUAAAGGAGCGAGGUGGGGGCUCGGCCGCCCCGCUCAGCGAAUCAAGGCACAGGAAGGGCAGGGAGUCGGGGCCAACCCGCUCGCGAUGGCCCAAUUUCCCAAUCCACCGUCCGUGACCUUAAGCGCAUGGAAGCCGCGUGGCGGGGAUGCAGAACUGAGGCGACAGAUGAGGCAGCAUCGUUCCGCCCCGUGAACGCGGGGAGUGGACGUCCCGAAAACCGCGCACCAGCCCCGUCCAGUAAAUGCACCACGCCCUCACACCUACCUCCGUUUAAAGAGGAGGGCGUGAAUCGUCCCCAUCAUCGUGGCAUGACGCAUGCUCGGGGGGCUUAGCCCCACGCAAACUCCCACGAUCUCACCCAAGACGCCGCAUUUGACGCGUGCCGUUCUGGGCGUGCGCAGUGGGAACGGAGUUAGAUUCGGCGUGACCUAGGCCGCGCGUGCCCGUGCACUGUUUUGGGCCUGGCCCAACAGCGCUCGGCACCGUGUAUGGCCCAGGCCCGGGGGCUCCUGUCGGUGUACUAGAGUAGGGGUACCCUAUUACCCCGAACUCGUGCACGGGCAGUUGCAGCGCCCCGCGGCAAGGCUUGCCGGGUGACCGCCAGGACCCUCCGUGGUUCCCGUGAAGACCAUUCAAGAACAAAGUAUUCAAGUCGAGGCCCCGGCAAGAGGAGUUUGCCGGGAAGGACAACCGAGGCCCCGGCAAGAGGAGCUUGCCGGGAAGGCCAACCAAGGCCCCGACAAGAGGAGCUUGCCGGGAAGAGACAAGACCCCGGCAAGAGGAGCUUGCCGGGAAGGCCACUCAAGACAUACCAAGAAAGCUUGCUGCGACGCGCCCUGCGUCCCGGCAAGAUCCGGCGAGCGACAAGCUUCCGGAUGCGACAAGACGACGGCCGCGGCAAGGAGCUUGCCGCGGGGAACCCCCACUGCGUGCCCACGCUCCAGCUCACCUGUUAACGUGUCGCUCUGGGACUCUCCCAGAGCACACGUGGCGGGAGGCCGUGCAGCUAGGGGUACGUGGUGGCAAGCGGAGAUGAAGAGAAGCCCAUCGUGGCAAACGGUGCCACUCCUAACGGUCACCUUUUGCACUGUUUAGGAGACUCAGACAGGCAUUUAAUGCCCUUGUCCCCUGCCGUCAGAGUUAGGUAGGGUGCACUGUAUCCACAGUAGCGGUAGCUAUACCUACCACAUCCUUUUCCAUUUUUACCCUUCUUGUCUACGUUGCCCCCUGUCGGUGACCCCUUGAGUAUAAAAGGAGGCCCAAGCGCAACGUAGAGGGGGUUCCGCAGGUCGGGGAGUUCAGAGACUCAGCUAGCUCGGCUCGUUCAACCCCAGAGACACUCUUACGCUCAGUCUGGCAGCGUCCAUCGCUCCUGAGCAAGAAUCCAAUAUACACAAACAAGCAGCAGUAGGGUUUUACGCAUCCGUGCGGCCCGAAGCUGGGUAAAAAUCCCCCCGCGUGCACUGCCUCGAUCCGCUCUUUGUGCUCUCUCCGCCCCCCACCGAACCAAAAAGGGGCCCUGUCCCCAUAGGUGCUGGCGGGAAUCAGCAUCGCCCGCCGGCACACUAUUAAUCAAUAGGUGGCACAGUCGGGACCGACACGUCCUCACCCCGUUGUCCCCGCCUAGUUAUCCGUGGAGCAAGUAGCAACCAUAUCCUUUCUGGUCGGCCACACCGCUUCCCCUUCACCAUUAAGGGAAAGGGGCCACACCAUGCAGGCAUGUCCCGCAUGGCUGCCUAUAAAACCCCCUUUCCGCUAGCCGUAUCGCUCACUCCUCAUUCAGCCAUGUCCCUGUAGAGAAGCCUAGCUAGUAACACUCUAGUCAUGGCUAGCACCCUCAAAACUACUAAGUUCCACAGCCGCACAAGCGCCGUCAACCAUCCUGGUUUUCCACGCCUUCUUGGUGAGAUGCUCACCCAAGCCUUUGGCUAUGAUGCUAGCCCCGACUAUCUGGUGUUUCAGUCAACACCCGUUCCUCACCUUCAUAUCUAUGAUGCAGGAGUGCACAUCAGCCCCGGUCCCGAGGUCGAUGGCCAGUCGUUGGUUUUUCAGGGUAGAGCCAUGCCUACCACUCAUUUGGCCAUCCAGGCCGCUGUUGUGGAGGUAAUCCUAUACCUCUGAACCAAGUUCUCACAAGUGGCAGAUCGAAGGGAGUUCUGUUUCUUCCCCAUUGUUACAGCGAUAGGAAUUCAACCACCCCCCUCUAUCCAAGGGAAUGACCCCGCAAUCGCUCUCCUGGUGCAGUAUAUCAUAGCCCAAGGAAUGAUGAUUUCGAGGAUGCUUGCCGAAUUCAGAACCUUGGACAACGAUGCAGUGCGAGUUGUUAAGGAAGCUUACCGUGAGGCUCGUAAGUUUGCAUCUCACGUGGCCCACCCAACGCUAUCCGAGCCAGUACUACCCUCUCAUCCGGUGUUGUGGCCUCGGCCAAACAUCAUCACUCUCGACAAGACUCUUUUCCGGAUUGUCACAACCCUAGUUUAGCCUUUGCUUGUCCUUGCAUGAUCAUCAUGCCUAAAUUCUGAAAUUUGAAUUGAGGGAAUUUUCAAAGCCUCAAAAACCUUUUAAAACUAAUCAACAUUUAAUUCUCAUCAAAUGAGUCCAAAGAAAUGUUCCUGUUACUCUGUAACAAUAUUGGUAAGAGGUAAAAUUCAAACCAAUAUUUUUGGAAUUACAGAAAUAUUUAGUUUGGGCCUUUGACUUAAAUCAAUGACAUAUUUGAGUUGAAUUUAUUUAUGUUAUAUAAGAAAUGAAGUUAAAAUAUUUUUGUAAGUUGCCUUUGACCUUGGACUAGUUCCUGAGACCACAUAACAAUUUACAGAAAUUUCAAAAAUAAUAAUUUGAUGUUUUAAAUCAAAUCAAAACCAAUUGCAGAAAAUAGAAAACAGAACAAAAUUAGAAAAAUAGAAAAGGGACUUACCUGGCUUACCUAUCGCGGCCCAGCUGGCCAGCCCACCUGGCGGCCCAGCCACUGGCCUCCUCCUGUCGUCUUCUUCCUUGCCAGAAGGACGGGCGCGUGCCCGACGCGCGCGCAACGCCGCCUGGCCACCUCCUGCUUGCCGCUUUCCCCCUCAACGCUCUAGAGAUGCCAUGCGACCCCCUGGAGCCAUAUGGAUCCCCCACACCUCCUCUUCCCUUCUCCGUCUCGCUCUCUCUCCCGCAGCCGAAUUCCACGGUCGCUGCCGAUCGCUGCCACCACGGCCACCGGCCUGCCCUAGCCCCAUGGACGUGUCCUCAAGCUCCGCUUUCAUUCUCUACGUCCUCCACACUGAGCCACGCAUCUCGGGAGGCCCUAGAACGCCGCCAUCACCGUUGUCAUCAACCUCUGCCCCGACAUUCGUCAUCCGUCGUUUCGCGUCCAUUCGGACAUCCCCGAGCUCACCGUCAAGCUCAUCGUGAUCGGUGUGACGCUGCGAUCUUUUCCCCCUAAGCCUGCCCCCGUUUGAUUGUCGUAGCCCCCGCCCCCUUGCUAACAGCAGCCGCCGCCACGCAGGCUCAUCGCCGGCGCAACCCCGGUGACCAUUGGGUCAUGGGCGUGCACCAUUGUGCUGGCCGUGACCCGUAGAGCCCCCCAACACCUUAGCUCGCUCGUUUGAGAGCAGCAGCGCCGAACCCGACAACACCGAGCGCCGGCCGCCGCGAAGCUCGUCGCUGGUGCCUCUGCAGGCCACCCCAGCUCCAUCCGCACCCACCACUGGAUGCGCCACUCCGCCAGCUCCCCGUAGAUGCUCCCCGCGUGCCAAACUGGACCCUGUAGCAAAAUCCUGAUGCCCUCUGCCGCGUUCACAGGCCGGUGGUGAUGACGUUGCACCAUCAUUAGGGACUAAUUACCAACUUAAUUACCCCCUGACCCGCUAACGCACGGGCCCCAUGCCCUUAGUUAACCAUAGUUUAAAUUCCUAUUAGUUUUAACUAAUCACCGUGGCCCACGUGUCAGCGUUGACCUGGCUGACGUGGCCCCUGUCUGACCCCACCCGUUAGUGACCCAAGCCAGCUUGUGACACUAACCAAUGGGCCCCCUAGUCAGGUUUGACCUGGACCAGCCCAUGUUGACUUGCUGACGUUGUCAUGACGUCAGGCUGAUGCCCUAUUUAUUUUCUGGAACUUUAAAUAAAUCAGAAAUGAUUUAUGAUUUCCAGAAAAUGCCCAAAACUUCUAAAAUUCAUAGAAAAUAAUCUAUAGCUCAGAAUAAGAUAAGUUAUAUAUGAAAAAUGAUCAGAAAAAUCCAAUCUAUCCAUUUGUAGCUUUUCCAUGCAUGCUUAAACAAACUAACAUUGCUAUUUAUAUCAAAACAUGAUAAUGCAAUUUAUAAGUUCUUAGUUUGAAUUUGAAUUUGAACCUUUGGUUCAAAUCAACUCAGACCCUUUUGUUCUUAGCUGCAUUAGCUCAAAUCACAGCAUAUCGACAUGUCAUGAUCAUGCAUCAUAUUGUGCAUUGCAUUGAUUGUGUUCUUUCUGUGUUUGCCGGUGGUUGUUCCCCCUCGGUAGAUGUAUGUUCCGACGAUGAGUUUGAUGACACCGAUGAAGAGAUAUCUCAUCUUCAGAAGUGCCAGGCAAGCAAAACCCCCUUAUUCAUUCCGAUACAAUCCCACUCUCUCGCUCCUGCUCUCUUUUAUUGCAUUAGGACAACAACGAUUCAACUAUUACAUGCUGCGGUAGUUGAACCCCUUUUCCUCUGCAUGACCUGUCAUUGCCACAGUAAAUAGAUGAAACCCACUAGCAUGAGUAGGAGUUGUUUGAGCCCUCAUGUGCCUACUCAUUCAUGCUUGUUUGUCAUGCCUGCUACUGCUUAGAGUUGAGUUAGGUCCGAUUCAUCGGGAAUGAAUUGGAAUAGUGAUGAGCAUGUCCUACUGUGUGUGAGCUAAGUGUGUGAUCAAGAUUUGGUAAAGGUAGCGGUGAGAGGCCAUGUAGGAGUACAUGGUGGGUUGUCUCAUUGAAACCGUUCUUAGGAACUGAGUUCUGUGUUUGUGAUCCAUCAACAGCUACUACCACUCAUUGGGAUCCUUAAUUGACCCUCUUGACUUAUUAACUGCCCUAGUCCUCUGUCUAGGAGUUGCAACUAGUUUCUGGUGUUUAUAGGAUAUGUGUUGGCAGCUGUGCGUAGCACUGACCCUAGGGGUGGGCUAAGAUGCGGUGAUACACCGUGGCACGGUGUACCGGGCGCCAGUUUGGUGUCUCGGGAACCCUGCACACAUCGUUUAGGGCUGUGAGAGAAACUCCAGCCGGAUCUCCUCGUGGAUGGAACCCGAAUAGGCGGUAAACCUGGACUAGAGACUUGUGUGGUUAGUCAGGUCGUAGCCGACUCCCUCGCCAAGCUUCCACUUGAAGGUUGCCGAGAUACACGACGUGUACAUGGUGGUAUGUGGCGAGAGCGUGUGUGAAGAAGUACACCCCUGCAGGGUUAUAAAUGAUCUAUUUGAAUAGCAGUGUCCGCGGUAAAGGACUUCUGGGAUGCCUAUAACAGUUUAUAGACAAGUGAAAGUGGAUACUCUAAAAUGCACAAGAUAAGCGUGAGUGCUAUGGAUGGCGUUCUCGUAGGGAGAUGAGUGUGGAUCCAUCGUGUUGUAUUGAUAUGGUGAAUAUGUGGACUCGUGUGCGCCACCUCAAAAGAGUUACUUGCUGUCGUAGUUUAAGAUAGCCACCGAGCCAAAGCUGGCUUGGUGCAGUUAAACUCCACCACCCACCUUUGAUACCGAUGCAUAUGUAGUUAGUUCAGAUGUAAGUCUUGAUGGGUACAUUUGUACUCAUGUUUGCUUAAUUUAUGUUUUGUAGAGAGACGUCAGUAUCGCUAGUAGUUCCGUGUGGACUUCGACGUUUAGCUUGAUACCUCAGCUAUGAUCUUGUGCCCUCGGCAGGACCUGGUAGAUAGUUAGGCUUCUCAGCCUUUUUCAUUUGUAGAUGUCUGUACUCGGACAUGUUAAGCUUCCGCAUGUGCUUUGUCUUGUAUGCUCUGAAUGUUGGGUCAUGAGACCCAUGAUUGUAAUAUUUGGCUCUUCGGAGCCUAAUGAAUAAAUACUUUGAGUCAUAGAGUCUUGUUGUGAUGCCAUGUUGUAUUUACACAUAUCGAGCAUAUUGUGUGUAUGAUUUGAAAUGCUUGGUAUGUGUGGGAUCCAACAACCUAGUUGUUUAUCCUUGGUAGCCUCUCUUAUGGGGAAAUGUAGUCUUGUGCUUCCAUGAGCCAUAGCAGUCCGCUACAGCCCGGUUCACCGGAGUCCUGCUAGCCCGGCACUGCAGCUCCGGAACACUUAGACUGGCCGACAUGUGAUUCACUUUGUUCCUGUGUUUGUUCCUCCGGGGAAAUGUCACACGGAGACAUCCGGAGUCCUGCUAGCCUGCUACAGCCCAGGUUACCGGAGUCCUGUUAGCCCAGUGCUACAGCCCGGAUUCGCACGCUGCUGACCGACAUGCUCGAUGUUGAUUCACGUAUGCCUGUCCCCAUAGGUUAGUGCCACCUUGGGUUCACAACUAGUCCUGUCGGCCCGGGUUCUCUGUCAUAUGGAUGCUAGCGACACUAUCAUAUACGUGAGCCAAAAGGCGCAAAUGGUCCCGGGCCAUGGUAAGGCGACACCCAUGGGAAUACCGUGCGUGAGGCCCCAAAGUGAUAUGAGGUGUUACCGGCUAGAUCGAUGUGACUUGAAAUCGGGGUCCUGACAGCUUUGGUAUCAGAGCCUGACUGCCUGUAGGAUUACCAACCCAACUAUUCGAAGUCGAGUAUAGAAAUGGUUUAGUUAUAUAAGGGAAUUGAUUGUGGAAGGGAACGUAAGGCUCUUUUUACUCCUUUACCUUAUGCCCUUCUGAUCUGAGUCACCCUCAUCUUUUCUACGGGGAUAAGAAACUAGGACUUCUCUUCUUUCUAUCAGGAUGAUGAGUUACUAAUCCAUAGACUUAUAGGAUUGUUGGAUUCAAGGCCCAGUUCAGUUUUUGCUACUUCCGUAUGUUCAUAGCUGGCCUCGGAACCUUGAUAUUGUGAUGUUAAGUGGUUAUGCCACCAAUUUGCAGGAUGUCACAAAUCUUUUUGAGUAUUUACAGCCGUUAUGCUGUCCGAGUCAUCCCAGCUCUCUAAAUAGUCUGAUGCAUGUGAAAUUCCAUUCUUCCCAUUUCCGAUGUCCUUUUGGGCCAGAUUAGGCACACUAAACGGUCUGUUGAGGUACUCUACUGCCUCGACAUAUAAGAUAGAGCUAGUAUUAUGACCCUAGGUGUCGUAGAGAACCACCUGGUACUCCAUCCAUGUUUUGUGUUCCGGUGUGAUGAUUCUGGCCACGAUUCUCGAAAGCAUCCCGUGAUGCCAUUUAGUAGUAGUAGGUAUUCUAUUCCUGGGUUCUUGAACCCGAGAUUCACCCCACUUACUUCAUGUUGAUAGUGUUUGCUAGUUCCUUUAGGAUAUUAGUAACCUUUGCGAUAGUCCUCGAGGUCCGUGGUAUAUCCUUCUUCCACAUACCAUGAGUUGCUUAUGGCAGAAGUUCUUUUGAACCAAAAGAUCACAACCAGAGUGCUCUUGAUGAGUUCUCCAUUCUACAUUGUGAAUAUGCCAGUUCUACCUUUCUGCAUGGAUUAUCUGGAAGAAAUUUUGAGCUUUGCUCGACAUGCUAAUAUAUGCAUCCACAAGUCAUAAAGAUAUAUGUUCCUGUGAGUUGUCCCUCUCUCUAGUUGCAUCCUAAUCUCCGUCUAUCAUUUCACAGUAAAGAGCAUGUCAUGCAUUCAUGCUCAUCGAUAGCUCAUAUUCUUGUGGUCUGUCAAGCCAUUCUGUUCCGGAAUGACUAGGAGAAACAAACUCCAGUACCUUAUCCAUCUCCAGGAUUGGGUCAAAGUAGUUGUAAUCUGCAAAUCAAAAUGCCAAUCCAGCUUUUGUUCUGUUCUACCUCGGAGUAUUACCCCCUUUAUGUCAGGAUUGUCAUGAGAAUUGCAGCAUCUCUCAUGAAUUCUUGACGCGGUGAUACUUCUUACCAUCAUUUUUCAUUCCUCGGUGCCGUGUUGUCACAACCGGAAUGCCGACAAGUGAACCAUGAUGUGUUAAAUCAAUACUCCUAGCAACCGUGUUGCUUGGUAGUUAAUGGACAUUAAUAUCAUUCUUAGCAUGUUGGUUAUCGAAUCACUAUUCUAGGAUUGAUCGUCCUACCUUGUCCUUAUUUCUGGUGCACUCUUCGAUCUUUGAGUUAGGAUUGAAUCCCUUGCUCUUCUGAUCAUGUCGUCUUGCCUUGAAAAGCAAGAUUGUUCUCGAGCUUAGAGACUUAUCGGUGGUUCGAGAUUUUUCAGAUAUCUUCACGGAAGUAUCAUCAGGUCGUCCCCUGACCGAUAUGUUGAGUUCGUGAUCAAGUUGGUUUUCCGAUAAACCACUCUUUCUCCAAGAAUCUGUGUUGGAUCCCCCUGAGCUAGUUGGUUAAGCCAAACAACAACUUGGAGAGUUGGAAGAUAAAAGCUUGUCUGACUUAGUUCAUGUUAAGGGAUAUCUUUUGUGUGUGUGUGUGUUGAAGAAAGAUGAUAUCUCCAUCGAUUGGUCCUCGCGAUCAGUUGUUGGAUCUAUUGCCUUGUCAAAACUUUGACUUGAGUAUGGGCGUCAAGUCAAAUCAGAACCAACGAUGUUCGUAAUGUUGUCUUACUCGUGGUUGAUCCCUCGAGCAUAAAACAUUACAUCUUUUGGUCUGACCAAUGCUAUCACUGUGUUCACAUGGUGGUGGAAGUCCAGUGAUAUGUAAAUUCCAAUGAGUUGCUAUUGAGCCCAUCAGCAGCAUCUUGUCUCCUCCAUGAUUCAUGUUCAAAUCAAGCUAGUGUUGGAAUUUUUGUAAGCAUUAUCUUCAUGUCCCGUUCAUGAAAUACAUGUUUGGUGUAAGAAGUGACUUUUUGCAAGUUCACGUGCAUUAGGUGCAAGUUGCCGCCGUGAAUUCGAGAAAGAUUGUUUUUGUUUCCUUUGGAAUCAUCCCAAGUCAGUCAUGUACGUGCGAAGUAUUCUAUGGUCUGAUAGUCUAAUCAUCUUCAUUCUAUACGUAUCCCUAGCACACCAAGCCACUGAUUGAUUUGUUCAAGGAGAAGAGGUCUCUUCUUAAGAGCAAGACUUAUGCAAGGACUUCGAUGUCGUUGUUGAUGGUUCCCCACCUGAACUCACUAGUGUUUUAUUAUAAGACUACAACAUUGUCAUGCUUGUCUGGGACAGCCUAUUCACAUGUAUGUAGCAGAACCAACUCAUGUUUUGGAGCUUGCUAUCGUAGUUCAUCUCCCGAGAGUCUCGCAACGCCAUCUCGUUGAUUUGUGUUGCAAUCUUUCAUUUUUCUCUCUAGACUGGGUGAGUCUGGAAUAUCCUGACACCAACCAGAUCUGAAUCUCAGGCAGAUAUGAUGGUUGGAACAUUCCCAACAUCUACAUUUUGUUCCCAGCUUGCACCGCCAUUGUGCCAAUCCCCAUGGGCUGCCCUCUCAGUAAUUGUUGUUUAGGAUCAUCUUCAAAAGUGGUCCUACCAUGGGUCCCAUCCAUUUCCGAUGACAAGCAAAAGCAUCCAUUGCGUUGUCAUCAACAAGGUAGUCCACAUCAUCCAUUCUAGUCCGAGUAUGUCAUUCUUUUGAACUCCUUCAAAUGAUCGAAUGUGAUUGCCUUAGGUUGGUAUAAAGAGUCUCAAUGAUCUAUGAAUCAAAAGUAAUUCUUUUUGCCACUUAAGGAAAUAACUCUACGAUUCACCUUCCCUAAGAUGCCCUGUUAUGGGAUCAUGGCAAUUAUUUCAUCGCCACCUUGAGACCAUCCACCAUCUCUCUAAGCGUGGAAUUGUUGCCCACCAAAUCAAACCUCGUUGUUUGUUCUUCCAUCCCUCUCGAUGUGUUUUGUGUCUCAACUCGAGAUGUUUCAACAUCUCAUUCCACGAGUUGAUCUUGUAUAGCUCGAUCUUCGAGAAGAUCAAUCCUAGUAGAGUUUCUUUCCGUUGUCAUCGCGUGGAUGAAGAUCUCAAAAGUGAGGAUGUCAAGAUCAACGUAUGCAAUGAAUCAACAACCUUAUGAUGUGCAACCUGGAUCGCGAAGAUUGUGUUGGUCUUGUGCCCCCUCUGUCUUCUUACCUCACGUCUUGAAUCUCGGGACGAGAUUCUUGUUUAGUGGGGGUGAGUUGUCACAACCCUAGUUUAGCCUUUGCCUGUCCUUGCAUGAUCAACAUGUCUAAAUUCUGAAAUUUGAAUUGAGGGAAUUUUCAAAGCCUUAGAAACCUUUUAAAAAUAAUCAACAUUUAAUUCUCAUUAAAUGAGUCCAAAGAAAUGUUCCUGUUACUCUGCGACAAUAUUGGUAAGAGGUAAAAUUCAAACCAAUAUUUUUGGAAUUACAAAAAUAUUUAGUUUGGGCCUUUGACUUAAAUCAAUGACAUAUUUGAGUUGAAUUUAUUUCUGUUAUAUAAGAAAUAAAGUUCAAAUAUUUUUGUAAGUUGCCCGUGACCUUGGACUAGUUCCCGAGACCACAUAACAAUUUACAGAAAGUUCAAAAAACGAUUUGAUGUUUUAAAUCAAAUCAAAACCAAUUGCAAAAAAUAGAAAACAGAAAAAAAUUAGAAAAAUAGAAAAGGGACUUACCUGGCUUACCUAUCACGGCCCAGCUGGCCAGCCCACCUGGUGGCCCAGCCAUUGGCCUCCUCCUGUCGUCUUCCUCCUUGCCAGAAGGACGGGCGCAUGCCCGACGCGCGCGCAGCGCCGCCCGGCCACCUCCUGCUUGCCGCUUUCCCCCUCGACACUCUGGAGAUGCCACGGGACCCUCCUGGAGCCGUAUGGUCCCCCACACCUCCUCUCCCCUUCUCUGUCUCGCUCUCUCUCCCGCAGCCGAACGCCACGGUCGCCACCGAUCACUGCCACCACAGCCACCGGCCUGCCCUAGCCCAUGGACGUGUCCCCGAGCUCCGCUUUCAUUCUCUACGUCCUCCACACCAAGCCACGCAUCUCGGGAGGCCCUGGAAUGCCGCCAUCGCCAUCGUCAUCAACCUCUGCCCCGACGUUCGCCGUCCGUCGAUUCGCCUCCGUCCGGACAUCCCCAAGCUCGCCGUCAAGCUCAUCGUGAUUGCUGUGAGGCUACGAUCAUUUCCCCCCUAAUCUCGCCUCCGUUUGAUUGCCGUAGCCACCGCCCCCUUGCUAACAGCAGCCGCCACCGCACGGGCUCGUCGCCGGCGCUACCCCGGUGACCAUUGGGUCUUGGCGUGCAUCGUUGUGCUGGCCACGACCCGUAGAGCCCCCCAACACGUUAGCUUGCUCGUUUGAGAGCAGCAGCGCCGAACCCGACAACACAGAGCGCCGACCACCUCGAAGCUCGUCGCCGGUGCCUCUGCAGGCCACCCCAGCUCCAUCCGCCCCCACCACUGGAUGCACCACUCCGCCAGCUCCCCGUAGAUGCUCCCCGCGCGCCAAACCGGACCUUGUAGCAAAAUGCCGAUGCCCUCUGCCGCGGGUUUGGUCGCCGGCAUUCACACGCCGGUGGUGAUGACGUGGUACCAUCAUUAGGGACUAAUUACCAACUUAAUUACGCCCUGACCCGCUGACGCACGGGCCCCAUGCCCUUAGUUAACCACAGUUUAAAUUCCUAUAGUUUUAACUAAUCACAGUGGCCCACGUGUCAGCGUUGACCUGCCUAACGUGGCCCCUGUCCGACCCCACCCGUCAGUGACCCAAGCCAGCUUGUGACACUGACCAAUGGCCCCCCUGGUCAGGUUUGACCUAGACCAGCAUGUUGACUUGCUGACGUUGUCGUGACGUCAGGCUGACGCCGUAUUUAUUUUCUGGAACUUUAAAUAAAUCAGAAAUGAUUUAUUAUUUCUAGAAAAUGCCCAAAACUUCUAAAAUCUUAGAAAAUAAUAUAUAGCUCAGAAUAAGAUAAGUUAUAUAUGAAAAAUGAUCAUAAUAAUCCAAUCUAUCCAUCUGUAGCUUUUCCAUGCAUGUUUAAACAAAUUAACCUUGCUGUUUAGAUCAAAACAUGAUAAUGCACUUUAUAAGUUGUUAGUUUGAAUUUGAAUUUGAACCUUUGGUUCAAAUCAACUCAGACCCUUCUGUUCUUAGCUGCAUUAGCUCAAAUCAUAGCAUAUCGACAUGUCAUGAUCAUGCAUCAUUUUGUGCAUUGCAUUGAUUGUGUUCUUUCUGUGUUUGCCGAUGGUUGUUCCCCCUCGGUAGACGUAUGUUUCGAUGAUGAGUUCGAUGACACCAAUGAAGAGCUAUCUCAUCUUCAGAAGUGCCAGGCAAGCAAAAACCCCUUGUUCAUUACGAUACAAUCCCACUCUCUCGCUCCUACUCUCUUUUACUGCAUUAGGACAACAACGAUUCAACUGUUACAUGAUGCCGUAGUUGAACCCCUUUUCCUCUGCAUGACCUAUCAUUGCCAUAAGAAAUAGAUGAAACCCACUAGCAUGAGUAGGAGUUGUUUGAGCCCUCAUGUGCCUACUCAUUCAUGCUUGUUUGUCAUGCCUGCUACUGCUUAGAGUUGAGUCAGGUCCGAUUCACCGGGGAUGAAUUGGAAUAGUGAUGAACAUGUCCCACUGUGUGUGAGCUAAGUGUGUGAACACGAUUUGGUAAAGGUAGCGGUGAGAGGCCAUGUAGGAGUACAUGGUGGGUUGUCUCAUUGAAACCAUUCUCAGGAACUGAGUUCUGUGUUUGUGAUGCAUGAACAGCUACUACCACUCAUUGGGAUCCUUAAUUAACCCUCUCGACUUAUUAACUGCCCUAGUCCUCUGUCUAGGAGUUGCAACUAGUUUCUGGUGUUUAUAGGAUAUGUGUUGGUGGCCAUGCGUAGCGCUGACCCUAGGGGUGGGCUAUGAUGCGGUGAUACACCGUGGCAUGGUGUACCGGGCGCCCGUUUGGUGUCUCGGGAACCCUGCACACAUCGUUUGGGGCUGUGAGCGAAACUCCGGCCGGAUCUCCUCGCAGAUGGAACCAGAAUAGGCGAUAAACCUGGACUAGAGACUUGUGUGGUCAGUCAGGUCAUGGCCGACUCCCUCGCCAAGCUGCCGCUUGAAGGUUGCCGAGAUACACGACGUGUACAUGAUGGUAAGUGGCGAGAGCGUGUGUGAAGAAGUACACCCCUGUAGGGUUAUAAAUGAUCUAUUCGAAUAGCCAUGUCCACGGUAAAGGUCUUCUGGGUUGCCUAUAACAAUUCAUAGACAAGUGAAAGUGGAUACUCUAAAAUGCGCAAGAUAAGCGUGAGUGCUAUGGAUGGUGUUCUCGUAGGGAGACGAGAGUGGAUCCAUAGUGGUGUAUUGAUAUGGUGAAUAUGUGGACUCGUGUGCGCCACCUCAAAAGAGUUACUUGUUGUCGUAGUUUAAGAUAGCCACCGAGUCAAAGCUGGCUUGCUCCAGUUAAACUCCACCACCCCCCUGUUGAUACCGAUGCAUAUGUAGUUAGUUCUGAUGUAAGUCUUGCUGGGUAAAUUUGUACUCACGUUUGCUUAAUUUAUGUUUUUUGCAGAGAGACGUCAGUCUCGCUAGUAGUUCCGUGUGGACUUCGACGUUUAGCUUGAUACCUCAGCUACGAUCUUGUGCCCUCGGCAGGAUCUGGUAGAUAGUCAGGCUUCUCAGCCUUUUUCAUUUGUAGAUGUCUGUACUCAGACAUGUUAAGCUUCCGCAUGUGCUUUGUCUGGUAUUCUCUGAAUGUUGGGUCAUGAGACCCAUGAUUGUAAUAUCUGGCUCUUCGGAGCCUAAUGAAUAAAUACUUUGAGUCAUAGAGUCUUGUUGUGAUGCCAUGUUGUAUUUACACAUAUCGAGCAUAUUGUGUGUAUGAUUUGAAAUGCUUGGUAUGUGUGGGAUCCAACAACCUAGUUGUUUAUCCUUGGUAGCCUCUCUUAUGGGGAAAUGUAGACUUGUGCUUCCAUGAGCCAUAGCAGUCCGCUACAGUCCGGUUCACCGGAGUCCUGCUAGCCCAGCACUGCUGCUCCGGAAAACUUAGACUGGCCGACAUGUGAUUCACUUUGUUCCUGUGUCUGUCCCUUCGGGAAAAUGUCACACGGAGACAUCCGGAGUCCUGCUAGCCUGGUACAGCCCGGGUUACUGGAGUCCUGUUAGCCCAGUGCUACAGCCCGGAUUCACACGCUGCUGACCAACAUGCUCGAUGUUGAUUCAUGUAUGCCUGUCUCCGUAGGUUAGUGCCACCUUUGGUUCACGACUAGUCAUGUCGGCCCGAGUUCACUGUCAUAUGGAUGCUAGCGACACUAUCAUAUACGUGAGCCAAAAGACGCAAACGGUCCCGGGCCAUGGUAAGGCGACACCCAUGGGAAUACCGUGCGUGAGGCCACAAAGUGAUAUGAGGUGUUACCGGCUAGAUCGAUGUGACUUGGAAUCGGGGUCCUGACAUGGAUCCACCAGCAGCAUAUGGUUGGAUCAAUUUCAGCCACACCCCCGGUAGCCGAACCCCAACCCAUAGUGAUCUCGGAUGAUGAAGAUGGAGAUUGGCUCAGUCUUCGUUCUCCCAGAGAGCCCCAGCAAAGCAAGCCCUCAGCUUGAUCUCAGCCGCACAACCAGUUGUUUCUGCUAGUAGGCCAGUCUGUCAGUUCAUUCCCGAUAUGAGGAUAGAACCCUGUAUCCCGAAGUGAGUAGUUUCGUUUAGCAUGUACAGUGCUCGUGCUUGGUUGUAUGCUGGCACUGUUGUAACUCGUAUGAUGUGUAUAUGCAUGCUUUCUUGCUUUUGGAUUGUUGUGUUGGUUUGUCUCUCUGUCAAACAGAGAUGUUUGACAGGGUUGGCAAUGUGAGUUAACAAGAUUUUAAUCAGUAGAGCACAUACACUAAACACAACAUUUACUCAUCCCGGAUUAUAUAUAUAUAUAUAUAUAUAUAUAUAUAUAUAUAUACCCACUAGCAUUAAAACACUUUGAAUGAUUUGUCUGCUGUGCUUUUCGUUGCAUGAUUUUAUCGCUAUCUGUUUGUUAGUAUAGAUUACUGCAUAACACACUCAUACCCGGUUCACCCACGAGUACAUCCGGGCAGUACUCGAGGAAAUGCAAAGUCACAUAUCCCUAUCUAUCUGUGCAUACCCCGUGUGUCGGAUUUUCAACUCCAGAACCCCGCAGAGGCAUUUCCGCCUGGAAAUUCCUCGUCUCUAAUUCUUUCUUCCGAUUUCAUUUCUAGGGUAACACUACCCACCUUAUUUCAUUCGAACCAGUACAACUACCUCGAUUUCAACUCCGAUUCUACCUCGACACCUACAUUUCGUGGAGCUAUCCGCGAAAUUUUUCCCUACUCCGUGUGAUUCUUGAGCUGGCGCAGCCACCUCACCUGCAUCUGGACCCCACCACCACCACCAUCUUCUGUGCCUUGCGUGGCGCAGGCAAGUCACCACCCCGCUUCACCGCCGCCUACGAUUACUCCGCCAGCGCAAAGUGACGGAAAAUCAAGCGUGGCGGAGGACCACCCAGCGCGCCAUCUUCUCUCGCGUCUCGAGCCACCGCACCUAGCCGCGCGUUGUUCCGAGCUCGCUCAUUCCUGAUGAGAAUCAGCAGGAGGAGUGAUGAGCCGAUCAACGUGCCCAGCAGUGCUGCGAGGAACAGCCGCAACGCCACUAGGAACACCUCCUCGCCAAAGGAGCUCGACUCGAUCUCGCCCAAACCGAAGAGGUAGUAGAGCAGCAUUGUGUUUGUGCGUUGGAGGAGAGCCGUGCUGCCGUUUUUAUAGCCCAACCCCGGUGCACGCUGAGCAAGGUCUAGGAGAACAGCUCGUCGCUCGAUCACCGGCGUCCAGGAGGCGAAUCCGCGAGCAGUGCCGACAAGGUACUGGCCCGCGAAGUGAGUGCUCGCUGCACCGGUGCCGUGCAUGCCGCGCACUACGGCACUAGGGUCCUCAUCGCCCUAGAAGCUAGAUGCGCGCUGCACUACGCCGCAUGCGGAGCAGCGACGAAGAAGAAGCAGCAAGCCGGAGGUAGAAGAAGGAGGCUUCCAGUGGGCCCUAGACCCACGUGUCAGCAGGUGAAACCACUGUUCAUUUGGUGCAUCUAGCAUUUUUCGGGAGUUUGAUCUCGAAUGCCCCUAGCCGUGAAUAUGCCCAAGUUUGCCAUAUCCCUCUCCGGGUGUACCAAUUAUCGGUGCCCCUAUCUCGUUUGAAUUUAACCAAAGGGUUAAAAAUUAAGCCGAGGUUUUUCCCCGGAAUGGUUAUUCUUUCAUUUGUGCUAUAACCCUAGUAAUCUCGAGGACGAGAUUCAUUUUAAGGGGGGAAGAGUUGUAACAUCCCCAAAAUUGGAUUAUCAAUUUUUGUGCUGUUAUUCCUUCCUGGCACUCAUUUUCAAAAUUUUCUCCUGAGUUUGCUGGAUGACUCUAGGAAAUUUUGUCAUUUCCAACCUUUCAAAACCUUGCUCAUGUCUUUUUUCAGUGGGCAAGACCUCAUUUGCAUCUGCUCAAAAUCCUCUCAAACCCUAAUUCCAAAUUUUUGGAAUUUGAAUGUGGCCCUUGUGAUUACAAAGGAGCCAUCAUUUUCCUUGCUCUGUUGAUCCUCCCAAUUGUUCCUAGAGAUCACCCUAUCUUUCUGAACCUUGGAUAUGCAAAAAUAUUGCUAAGUCCAAUGCAAUAUUUUUGGAUUAUGAUUUAUUCCUUUUAUUGCCUUUCUGAGGAAUAAAAUCCAAAGGCAUAGCUAGCCAUCUCCUAAAUUCAUGAUAAUUGGUGGAGUUCAUUCUUAUGCCUAAUCCAAGCUCUAGCAAAGAUAUUGGCCAUAAUUAAAUAAGGAAAAUUACCUUUUCCUAUUUUAAGCCAAUAUUGCACUUCUGCCAGUUUCCAAAGGAAUUACUAUUUUUAUAGCAGGGAAAAUUCCCACACAAUUUGUGGAGCUUGUCCUUGCUAUAUAAUCACUAGUUCCAUCCUCAUCUCAUGAUUCCACAGUUCAAAAUUUGGCACAUGAUCCAAUGCAAGUUUCUGCCUUCUUCGAAAUUUUGCAACGGAAGUUCUUUAUUCCUAAGACCAAUUAAGCUGCAAUUUGGCAGGGUGUUUUAACAUUGUUACAUAACCCAUGGAUACCAAAGAUGAGAUCAAUCCAUUCAUCCUAGCUCCCUGUGCAAUUUUUCAAAGUUUCUGACCAGAACACAAGUUUGUGAAGGAAGCACCUUCAUAGUGUUUCCAAAUGGGAUGAAACUUUUCCAUCCUCUCUAUUAUCUCAAAUCAUUAGCCUCCACCCAAAUUCAGUUCAUUUUAUUGAACUAUGUGAGCGCAGGAGCAAUUCUUUGUUUCUAUCCACAUUUUCAGUUUGUGAAUCAAGUGUAUUUUAUCUUGCUCCAUUAUGGCUGAUAAUUUUCCCAGGCCUUCUCAUAUCCAUAUAACCUAUCUCCACAAGAUUGUGGCUCAUUUCAUCAAGCCAUUUGCCCUGAGGAUUUUUCUAAAUUUUUUUGACAGAAUUGAUAGCUGGGAAGGAAGUACCAUUUUGGUGAGUCCAUUUGGUAUGAACUUUUUACAGCAUCAUGAUAUGUUCAAAUCAUCGGUCUUUGCCAAGUUAUAGCCUAAUCCAUCACUCCUAGUGAGUGUUUCACCAUGAUUCAGUUUUUGGGUCAGUUUUGGUGGUUGUACAGCAACUAUGGUAAAUAGUUGUCCAUUUUACCUCAAAACUCCCAGGACCGUAGUCCUUUCUACCCUAAGCCUCCCAGAAAACUUAUCUACCUUUUACCCCCUCUGGUUUAAUCUCUAGGGUGUUGCCAAAUUUGCAACAUCAAACUUGUGGAGCUUGUUUUACCCAGCUCCGUUUGUCUCUGCCCUUCUACUUACUAUGGUAACACUCCACGCUGGAAGGACUACGCGGUAGACAUAAACUUACUUCAGUAGAAACCCCAGAGCGUGCCAUGCCAGUGGUGACCACGCGUGUAACCAGCCAAAAUGGUGGUCUAGCCACAGUGGUCGUCGGCAUCGCUGCCCCGACCGCCUCUGGUCUCUCCAUCAAUGCCCAAUAGUUGCCCCUCGAUGUCGGCUUCCCUCUGGACCGCUGCCCGCCUUUGUUUUCUUCUCCGGCGAGCCGUGCCAAUGACCCGAAUAGUGUGCUCCUGUGCCUCGUCGUCUUCCUCGCCGAUGUCCUCUUCCUCCGUUCGUCCGCACGCCUUCCUCAUCUCCGUGACCCUCUGGCGUUCGUCUUGAUCCCCCUCGCCGCCUUCCCGUGCUUCCCCGUGAGCCUUGACCGUGCCUGCGCCCUCACCGGCGCACGGACACGUCGCCUGACGUGUGCCACCUCGCCCCCCCCUUCCCGAGCUCCCCGCGGCUAUAGGUAGAGCCCUCGGGCUCGUCCGCGGCCACAACGCCUCCCCAUUCCGUCCUCUCGUCCCCGGAGCCUCUCUCUGACCCCAUCGCCGCCAUGACCGCCACCUUGGUCGUUGCUCGAUUCCAGCGAUGUGGCCCCCCCUCUCGCCGUUCCACCUCCACCACUGCCCUCCCUAGGGUCCAGUGAGUCUUCCCGUGGCCUCAACCCCUCCUCUCCUCCAUCGUAGCCAUCACCUCGCCGGCGACCGAACCCUCUUCUCCUCCGCGGGCUGUGCUGCUUCCUCUAGAGUGCUUGUCGGCGGCCGCAACCACCCUCAUCCGAUGUGCCUCGCAGCCCCGAUCUCCUGGGUAGGUCGUGCGCCUCGAGAGGUGGCCGGACACGCCGGCGAUCGGCGUCGGGGCGGACGCCUUCGUCAGCCUCGCUCUCUCCGGACCAGGAGGUUGAAGAUGCCAGGCCAGGCGGGCCCCUCCUCGCGCGGCCCCACUUGUCUGCAAGAGAAGGGCGUGGCCCAGUCGGCCACGUGGAUAAGUGGCGGCGCCCCGCCAUGAAGCCGUCUCCCUCACGCGAAAGUGUAUUCUGUGAAGCACGCUUUCAUUCACUGAAAGCGUAUUCUUCCUCUGCUUCGGCCGGAAAUAUGUUUUCCUCUCUGGAAAACAUAAUCUCCGAAAAGACACGUUCUGUUUAAACUACCAGGGACCUGUUUGUAGAAAUAUUUUUAUAGACUAGUCCCUGAGCUUUAAACGCCCGUAUCUUUUUACCCGUAACUCCGAAUCAGGUGAUUCCAGUGCUCACGUUCUCUGUUCGAUGAGCUCUUUCCGUUGGUCUCAUAUUCAUAAUGUUUUCACCCAGUGAAAAUGACCAUUUUGCCCUUGCCCGUAAACAGCCUCCUCCGGGAGAGAACUGUUUCCGGCAAAUCUUUCCGCGAUCGUUUCCCACUUCUUCCCGGAGUAUUUGUCGACCCCCAGGCAAGCCAACCUCUUAUAAUGAGCCCCGAACAUCCAUGUUGACUUUGCUUGCACCUUGUGUGUGUGUAGUUGCAGUUGUUUCAUAUCGUUUUCAUCGGCAGUUAUUUCUUUAUGCUUAUCAUGAAUGCUUAUGUUUUCAUGAUAUCUUUUGCCAUGUUAAUUAAAAUGCUGUUAUUAAUAAUGCCAUGUCACUACUCUACUAUAUUUGCAUGUCAUCGUUAUAAAAUGUUCUGUGAAUUUUAUAUGCACCGUUGAUAUGCUAUUGUCACGUUCUUUAUGCUAUGGUUGUGCACUUGAGAAAUUCAAUAUUUUGUUCAUGCAUUUGUAUGCCGCAUGUUGCACUUAUGUUAAGUAUGUUCAUGAUGAUGGAGAAGGAAAUAAAAUGACUUAAUAAUGACAAACCUCCUCCGUCAUCGAUAGGAUUGAGUCAUAGUGCCACCAAAUCGAACUUUUUCAGUGCAGCCACAUUUGCCUUAUGGGGGGCCUUAAUGCGAGCUAUUGUCGUGACCUCUCGUCGUUGCCUCCAACUAGGGAAGGUUAUGGGCGUGCUUACCCUAAGCAGGUAUGCGGACAUAAGCUUGUGUGCUCGUUUUUUUGAGAUUUUUGGUACCAGUCCCCGAGUGGGAGUGUCCCCAAGUGGGAGAUGACCACGAUGGUGGUCGGGGUGUAUUUGGUAGACACGGGGCCACCCAGGACCAGCCUGUUGGGGAUUGGGUCAGAGUGGCCGGGAGAGUGUCGUGGCAGUAGAUCGGUUUCGUCGGAAUGCCGUUGGUCCACCCGAAUGGGAUGAUGAGGCCAUGGGUUCCAUGGUGUGGGUACUGUGUGUUACCUCUGCAGAGUGUAUAAGGCUAUCGAUAGCAACAGUUCGUAGUAGGUCCCACUAUCAGAUCUUGGUCGAAAUGGAGGAUAAACUGAAAUAAUUAAGUGAGUAAAUAAAUAUGUGAUAACAAAAAUAUGGUGACUUGAACUAUGAGAUAGUCGUGAGAAGUCACGGUGAUGUUUUGGUGGUGAUCGCCGUAAGGAUCACGAGUUAUUUUGGUGGUGGACGACAUUAGGAUCACAAGUUAUUUUGGUGGUGAUCGCCGUAAGGAUCACAAGUUAUUUUGGUAGUGAUCGCCGUAAGGAUCACAAGUUACUUUGGCUGUGAUCGCCGGAAAGAUCACUGUUCGGUUGUGAGGCAACCCGUUGAUAAGAGAGUCCGAGGGACUCGGUGUACAAGUUUGGUUACAUUGCAUGAGUAAUAUAUCAUUAAUUGCAUUUAAAGAACCAUGAUAGAACAAAAGAUGAAUGCAUAAAGUUAAUAUGCUAUGGCUGCAUUGGAUAUUAUUGGUAGUUUAUUUUCAGCAUAAUUUCAUGAUGCUAUGCCAUACUUUGAUUGAUAUGUUAAUUUUUGCCAUUAUUGAGCUGAGAUGAUAUGUUUUGCCUUUGCCAUGUGAGAAGCAUGAUCUGAUAUGCCAUGUUAUUGCCAUGUUAGCAGAUGUUAUGAUUGCGUUCAUGUUUAGUUGAUCUUUAUCAUGCCAUGCUUAGUAAUUAAUAUGAGAUAGGUUGUUGCAUGCGCUCGAUUCUUGCUUUGUCUUCUGCUUGUUUGGAUGCUAUGUAUUUAGCUGUCUUGCAAGUCCAUUCAAUGUACUGACAUGGCGUGUCAUGCCAGUUCUGUAGGUCAUACCCGUAUUGUUCGCUUGAUCCGUCGUGCUAGGCCGUAACCUUGCCAGUCCUGUGAGUUGUGGAGCCCAGCCAGAGUUGUUAUGCUGCCAAACCAAG
RNAcentral lists this long non-coding RNA (25800 nucleotides) under Triticum aestivum (bread wheat). RNAcentral describes it as "long non-coding RNA (TAES_LNC025507)". Lineage: Eukaryota; Viridiplantae; Streptophyta; Magnoliopsida; Poales; Poaceae. The record is from RNAcentral.